CGGAACAUCACCUUCUUUUCCACCAACUGUGUGGAAGGCACGGCUCGGGGCGUGGUGGUGGCCACGGGCGACCGCACUGUCAUGGGCCGUAUCGCCACCCUGGCAUCAGGGCUGGAGGUGGGCAAGACGCCCAUCGCCAUCGAGAUUGAGCACUUCAUCCAGCUCAUCACCGGCGUGGCUGUCUUCCUGGGUGUCUCCUUCUUCAUCCUCUCCCUCAUUCUCGGAUACACCUGGCUUGAGGCUGUCAUCUUCCUCAUCGGCAUCAUCGUGGCCAAUGUCCCAGAGGGUCUGCUGGCCACUGUCACUGUAAGGCCAGGCUCCUGGGUCUGGGUGGGGAGGGCCUGGGGGUCUGGGCUCCUGGGUCUGAGGGAGGAGGGGCUGGGAUCCUGGACCCCUGAGUCUGAGGGAGGAGGGGCUAGAGGCCUGGACCCGUGUGUCUGGGGGAGGAGGGGCUGGGAUCUGGACCCCUGGGUCCGGAGAAGGGGCUGGGGGCCUGGAUCACAGUAUUCUUGUGAAAGACAACUUGGGCCUGACUCAGAGGGCCUCAUUAACAAAGCAAACAAUCAAAGAAAGAAACAAACAAAAAUCUUGAGAAACACUGGCAAGCCGUAAAGAGCCAACAAUCCUAUUGCAAAAUUAAGAAGUGCACGCUCAUGAUGAAAAGUUGAAGAGUACAUCAAGUUAAAAAAUAAAAUAAUGAGGCUGGGUGCACUGGCUCACGCUGUAAUCCCAGCACUUUGGGGGGCCAAGGCGGGCAGAUCAGCUGAGGUCAGGAGUUCAAGACUAGCCUGGCCAACAUGGUGAAACCCUGUCUCUACUGAAAAUACAAAAUUAGUGGGGCGUGGUGGCACAUGCCUGUAAUCCCAGCUACUCAGGAGGCUGAGGCAGGAGAAUCGCUUGAACCUGGGAGGCGGAGGUUGCAGUGAGCCAAGAUCACGCCAUUGCACUCCAGCCUGGGUGACA
Molecule: long non-coding RNA, 963 nt
Filed under: Homo sapiens (human)
Lineage: Eukaryota; Metazoa; Chordata; Mammalia; Primates; Hominidae
Description: non-protein coding lnc-GRIK5-2:1
Source: RNAcentral